GUUAAUUAAUGUUGUAGUCUUGACUGCAGUAUUGUUAAUUACAAAGUUUAUUACUAUAUCAUCAUUAUGUCUUGAUGAGUAAGAGGGCCGCGGCGAUGAGCGCAGAAGGGUCUGGGCGAGAGCCCGCCUGGAGCCGUCGCUGGUGCAGAUCUUGGUGGUAGUAGCAAAUACUCCAGCGAGGCCCUGGAGGACUGAUGUGGAGAAGGGUUUCUUGUGAACAGCUGUUGCACAAGAGUCAGUCGAUCCUAAGCCCUAGGAGAAAUCCGAAGCGAUAUGCGCCCGUUAAAUAAUUUUUUUUUAUUAAAUGUUUGGCGCUAUCUGGGCGAAAGGGAAUCCGGUUCCUAUUCCGGAACCCGGCAGCGGAACCGUUCCAAAUCGGGCUCUCAUUUGAGAACUCGUCGGGGUAACCCGACAAGACCCGGAGACGCCGUAGGGAAAUUCGGAGAGAGUUGUCUCUUCUCUAUAAGCGUUCGAGUUCCCUGGAAACCUCUAGCAGGGAGAUAGGGUUUGGAACGCGAAGAGCACCGCAGUUACGGCGGUGUCCGGAUCUUCCCUACGGACCUUGAAAAUCCGGGAGAGGGCCACGAGGAACCCCGCGCCGGCUCGUACCCAUAUCCGCAGCAGGUCUCCAAGGUCAAUAGCCUCUAGUCGAUAGAAUAAUGUAGGUAAGGGAAGUCGGCAAAUCCGAUCCUUAACUUCGGGAUAAGGAUUGGCUCUGAGGACUGAGUCGUGCCGGGCUUGGUCGGGAAGUGGAGCGGUGUCAACGUGCCGGGCCUGGGCGAGGAGAAAAUUGCGUUUCUGCGCUUUUGGAUCCGAGCUCGGUCCCGUGCCUUGGCCACCCACGGAUCUUCCUUGCUGCGAGUCGUUAGCCGUGUGGUUACCGCUGGCUUUUGCUAGCUGGUCGACCUGGCUUACGAUCUCUUCGGCCGACAUUCAACAGUCAACUCAGAACUGGCACGGACAAGGGGAAUCCGACUGUCUAAUUAAAACAAAGCAUUGCGAUGGCCCCAACGGGUGUUGACGCAAUGUGAUUUCUGCCCAGUGCUCUGAAUGUCAAAGUGAAGAAAUUCAAGCAAGCGCGGGUAAACGGCGGGAGUAACUAUGACUCUCUUAAGGUAGCCAAAUGCCUCGUCAUCUAAUUAGUGACGCGCAUGAAUGGAUUAACGAGAUUCCCUCUGUCCCUAUCUACUUUACCAAGCCCAAUUGCUUGCAAUUGCGGUAGGAUUCGUAGUGGCCGUUGGUUAACCAUUAGCUCCGCUGUCCUAGGACAUGAGCUGAGCGGAAGUACACCGCUAUAGAAACUAGAGUACAUAUAGCCAUCAUAAGAUGGAAGUGCCUUUCGCUAGGAGGCGCGGCUGACCAGAGCUAAAGUAGAGUUUGCCUUCUCUACGAUCUGGGAGUGGAGUCGACGUGUGUCAGCUCCAUGCGCUGGUUGAGCGUGAUCUCAACCCGCCUCAUUGGAGGCCAAGCGGGGGAGUGCCUGGGUGGGCACUUCUACCAUGGGGAGGCCUAGCACUUCAGCCUCUCUGUGGUGGUGACAUCCUUCUCUUGUAAAACGACCUUGUGCUUGCACAGGGGGUCUGGUAUAUCCGAAAGGAUAGGAACGGACCUUAAAGAACCCCUAGUACUGAAUAGGAACGGGAAGACGGGAAAGAAUGUCCCUAUCUACUAUCUAGCGAAACCACGGCCAAGGGAACGGGCUUGGAAAAAUCAGCGGGGAAAGAGACCCUGUUGAGCUUGACUCUAGUCUGGUACUGUAAGAAAA
Molecule: ribosomal RNA, 1765 nt
Organism: Rhodnius prolixus
Lineage: Eukaryota; Metazoa; Arthropoda; Insecta; Hemiptera; Reduviidae
Rfam family: Eukaryotic large subunit ribosomal RNA
Source: Rfam